This 440-nucleotide ribosomal RNA is filed under the name uncultured bacterium. Its description in RNAcentral is "partial 16S ribosomal RNA". It matches the Rfam family "Bacterial small subunit ribosomal RNA", at positions 338 to 795 of the family's 1533-position model. The record is from RNAcentral.
CCUACGGGAGGCAGCAGUGGGGAAUAUUGCACAAUGGGGGAAACCCUGAUGCAGCGACGCCGCGUGAGUGAAGAAGUACUUCGUUAUGUAAAGCUCUAUCAGCAGGGAAGAAAAUGACUGUCCCUGAGUAAGAAGCCCCGGCUAACUACGUGCCAGCAGCCGCGGUAAUACGUAGGGGGCAGGCGUUAUCCGGAUUUACUGGGUGUAAAGGGAGCGUAGACGGCAGUGCAAGUCUGGAGUGAAAGGCGGGGGCUAAACCCCCGGACUGCUCUUGAAACUGUACGGCUGGAGUGCAGGAGAGGUAAGUGGAAUGCGUGGUGUAGCGGUGAAAUGCAUAGAUAUUAGGAGGAACACCAGUUGCGAAGGCAGCUUACGGGACUGUAACUGACGUUGAGGCUCGAAAGCGUGGGGAGCAAACAGGAUUAGAUACCCUUGUAGUC